Molecule: ribosomal RNA, 904 nt
Filed under: uncultured bacterium
Lineage: Bacteria
Description: bacterial SSU rRNA
Rfam family: Bacterial small subunit ribosomal RNA
Source: RNAcentral
AAUUCGCCCUUAGAGUUUGAUCCUGGCUCAGGAUGAACGCUGGCGGCGUGCCUAAUACAUGCAAGUCGAACGAAUCUCUUUUAGAGAUGAGUGGCGAACGGGUGAGUAAUACAUAGGUAACCUGCCCCUGUGCGGGGGAUAACAGGAGGAAACUCCUGCUAAUACCGCAUAGCCAUGAGCACCGCAUGGAGCUCAUGCCAAAUAUCCUUUCGGGGAUAGCGCAGGGAUGGACCUAUGGCGCAUUAGCUGGUUGGCGGGGCAACGGCCCACCAAGGCAACGAUGCGUAGCCGGCCUGAGAGGGCGGACGGCCACAUUGGGACUGAGACACGGCCCAGACUCCUACGGGAGGCAGCAGUAGGGAAUUUUCGGCAAUGGGGGAAACCCUGACCGAGCAACGCCGCGUGAGCGAAGAAGGCCUUCGGGUCGUAAAGCUCUGUUGUAAAGGAAGAACGGCGCAUACAGGAAAUGGUAUGCGAGUGACGGUACUUUACCAGAAAGCCACGGCUAACUACGUGCCAGCAGCCGCGGUAAUACGUAGGUGGCGAGCGUUAUCCGGAAUCAUUGGGCGUAAAGAGGGAGCAGGCGGCCGCAAGGGUCUGUGGUGAAAGACCGAAGCUAAACUUCGGUAAGCCAUGGAAACCGGGCGGCUAGAGUGCGGAAGAGGAUCGUGGAAUUCCAUGUGUAGCGGUGAAAUGCGUAGAUAUAUGGAGGAACACCAGUGGCGAAGGCGACGGUCUGGGCCGCAACUGACGCUCAUUCCCGAAAGCGUGGGGAGCAAAUAGGAUUAGAUACCCUAGUAGUCCACGCCGUAAACGAUGGUCACUAAGUGUCGGGGGUCAAACCCCGGUGCUGCAGUCAACGCAAUAAGUGACCCGCCUGAGUAGUACGUUCGCAAGAAUGAAA